CGGUGCGGACGCGGGAAACCGGCCCAGCUCCACUCAGCAGCGGGUGGAGCAGAUUGUGGAGGCGUGGAAAUGCCAUGCCCUGCGGAGAGGGGAUGAGGCCCGGGGCGCCCCGUGUCGCCGCCGGAGAGGCACCCUGCCCCGGGAGCAUCAUCGCUUUCUGGACCUGUCCUUCAAAUGAUCCAACGCCGGGACUCGCAGAGAGCCCUGGACCCGCCCAUCUGAGCCUGCUCCAAACUACAGCUCCCGAAGUGCUCGGCGUUCAGAGUGGGCUUCCGUUCCCAGCGUGCCCAGUGAGCUGGCCGCCGGAAGAACCGUUGUCUGCCACGCGCAGCCCCUUGUGCGGGAUCAAGCCCGUGUGGGCGAGGUGGGGUCGGGUCGGCAGGGCUUGGGCUGGGCCUCCCUGAGGGGGUGAAACUCGAAAACGAGGAUUUCCUUCGCUCCACACCCUCACUCUACGCCCUGCCCCUGGGCAUCGUCGUCUACUAGUCAAUUCUGAUGACUCCC
This 504-nucleotide small RNA is filed under the name Pongo abelii (Sumatran orangutan). RNAcentral describes it as "processed transcript". The record is from RNAcentral. Lineage: Eukaryota; Metazoa; Chordata; Mammalia; Primates; Hominidae.